This 254-nucleotide ribosomal RNA is filed under the name uncultured bacterium. Its description in RNAcentral is "partial 16S ribosomal RNA". It matches the Rfam family "Bacterial small subunit ribosomal RNA", at positions 524 to 776 of the family's 1533-position model. The record is from RNAcentral.
UACGGAGGGUGCAAGCGUUAUCCGGAUUCACUGGGUUUAAAGGGUGCGUAGGAGGGCAGGUAAGUCAGUGGUGAAAUCCCCCGAGCUUAACUUGGGAACUGCCGUUGAUACUAUCUGUCUUGAAUACCGUGGAGGUGAGCGGAAUAUGUCAUGUAGCGGUGAAAUGCUUAGAUAUGACAUAGAACACCAAUUGCGAAGGCAGCUCGCUACACGAAUAUUGACUCUGAGGCACGAAAGCGUGGGGAUCAAACAGG